This is a long non-coding RNA of Lagenorhynchus albirostris (white-beaked dolphin), 1098 nucleotides long. RefSeq lists it as uncharacterized. The record is from RefSeq and is a predicted model, not a curated record. Lineage: Eukaryota; Metazoa; Chordata; Mammalia; Artiodactyla; Delphinidae. The transcript is spliced from 2 exons.
UCUUUUCGAGCUGGGGAAUUAGCUCAAAUGGUAGAGCGCUCGCUUAGCAUGUGAGAGGUAGCGGGAUCGACGCCCGCAUUCUCCACGGUUGAAUUUUAUAAAGAUCGAGGGGUCGCCCGUCGGGGAUGGUCACUUUGUUCUCAAAGGCGGCGACAGUACCGGGAGUUACAGGGGCAAAAUGAGGGGCCAGGUGUCCCAAUUUGUGCGCCCAGUUCCGUGAGGGAGGCGAAGUGCGGAAAAGCGGGGGUCUUUCUUUUGCCUCGCGGAAGGAUUUACGCAGGAGCUUCUUAGAAUCUAGCGGGCACUUGGUCUGUGCCCAGCCUGCGGGGGUGCGCAGGGAGCAGACGGUCCCGGCUUUGACGUCUGUGGGAGACGUCAGACUCCACCUGGGCAACACCAGGUUUUGGUGUUUUGGCCGCGAGGCACGUGGUAUCUUAGCUCCCUGAGCUAAGGGAUCGAACCCGCACCCCCUGCAGAGGAAGGUGAAGUCUUAACCACUGGACCACCGGGGAAGUUCCCCCGCCCCCCCACCCCACCCCAGCACUGUCCUGACGGGCAGCAGCGGCCCUGGGCCGGCACGCACAGGUCAGACAGUAGCAAGGACCAGCCAGGAACAGCCCAAAGCCCAGGUAUGUAACCUGCAGAGCCCAAUGCGAAAUGAAAAUGCAGGGCCUCGGUCUUCAAAAUUAUUUAGAAUUUCGGGACGGCAACAGCAGGGCAUGAAAUCAAACAUCAGGUCGUGCACGAGUCAGGCAUCCACGGAGCUGACCCGCCCGCAGGCCUCUGCCCAGAGGUCUCACCCCCUCCCUGUGGGAGCCUGAUGGCAAGACGCCCAUGCCCAGGACAAGUGCACGACUCCGACAGCUGUCCAGGGAGGGCCAGAGGUCAGCGUUCACUCCGUGGGGACACUCAGCUCCAACACACACGGCAUGAAAGAAUGGCAAUGAUGUUUUAAAAAAUUAGGUUUAUAAAUAUUUUCUCCAUUGUACAAAGUUUUCCCCACCCUGCCCACCCCCCAUCACUGUUCACAUUUCUCAUGUUUUUAAAAUCCCAACUAUAUUUAUUUUUUAAAUCAUAAAAUAUAAUUUUUUCUUUGUU